Molecule: non-coding RNA, 765 nt
Organism: Triticum urartu
Lineage: Eukaryota; Viridiplantae; Streptophyta; Magnoliopsida; Poales; Poaceae
Source: RefSeq, a predicted model, not a curated record
CCCCGCCCCUCCCCGAGCAUGGGGAGCCCCGAGCUGGCCCUCCCAUCGGCGCCGCCGCCUCUCCCCGUUCGAUAGGGUUGAGGGCCCGGCUCCUCAGGCGGCAAGGUGCUCCGGCGUGCCCCUGCUGAUCUCCUGCUCGUGGAACAACUGCAUCAGCAGGAACACAUGCUGCAUCUGAUUUUGGUUUCCCUCCCUCCCACAAUUGCAUCUUCAGAACACCUGCAUCACACACAUACACACAUUGCUCAGGGUUCAUAAAAGGGGAACACCGCACCCCGCACACACCGCCGACCGAAUUCCCACCGUACUGCCUGGGCAGCGCUGUCGCCGUCGUGCGUGGGGAAACCAGCACUGUACCAAGGUUUAUCUACACUCUUCUCCGCCUGGGAAUCAUCAUGUGCUUGCUGACCUGCUCGGGCCACAUCGCCGCUGAAACUGCAAACAGCCCCUGCCUGUCUUGUCACGUGAUCUUUGUAUUCUUGCUUGUGAUACUGCAAGCUGCAAUCGCCGCCGAUGUAUUUCUGAAUAGCUACUGGGAGGAGGACAAAUCCCACCAGACUUGGCUCUAAUUGAAGUUAUCAUAAGAGUAAGCAAUCAGCACUUGCUGUUCUGUUUUCUGAUUCUAUUGAGAAAGCUCAAAAUUUGCAGUGUAAGAUCAAACUUUUGCCCGCAGAAUAUUGAAUGUGCACUAAAAAGUAUGUAGAUUUACUCAUGAGGGCAGAAUCCUGUGAAUUUCUUUUGAAUCGAUUGCUCAAUUAGGAAUAA